UACAGAGGGUGCGAGCGUUGUCCGGAAUUACUGGGCGUAAAGGGCGCGUAGGCGGUUCGGUAAGUAGGGGGUGAAAUGCUGCGGCUCAACCGCAGCCCUGCCUUCUAGACUGCCGGACUCGAGCACAGUAGAGGCAGGUGGAAUUCCCGGUGUAGCGGUGGAAUGCGUAGAGAUCGGGAAGAACAUCGGUGGCGAAGGCGGCCUGCUGGGCUGUUGCUGACGCUGAGGCGCGACAGCGUGGGGAGCAAAC
Molecule: ribosomal RNA, 250 nt
Filed under: uncultured bacterium
Lineage: Bacteria
Description: partial 16S ribosomal RNA
Rfam family: Bacterial small subunit ribosomal RNA
Source: RNAcentral